CCCUUAGAUGUCCGGGGCUACACGCGCGCUACACUGAAGGAAUCAGCGUGCUAAAACCAUUGUCGAAAGGCAUUGGUAAACCCAUUAAAAUCCUACGUGAUUGGGAUCGGGAAUUGCAAUUAUUUCCCUUGAACGAGGAAUUCCCAGUAAGUGUGGGUCAUAAGCUCGCGUUGAUUACGUCCCUGCCCUUUGUACACACCGCCCGUCGCUGCCCGGGACUGAGCCGUUUCGAGAAAAGCGGGGACUGCUGCUGUCGGGGCUUUCGGGCCUUGGCUUCGGUGGAAACCGCUUUAAUCGCAGUGGCUUGAACCGGGCAAAAGUCGUAACA
RNAcentral lists this ribosomal RNA (328 nucleotides) under uncultured eukaryote. RNAcentral describes it as "partial 18S ribosomal RNA". It matches the Rfam family "Eukaryotic small subunit ribosomal RNA", at positions 1470 to 1796 of the family's 1831-position model. The record is from RNAcentral.